Molecule: long non-coding RNA, 389 nt
Filed under: Medicago truncatula (barrel medic)
Lineage: Eukaryota; Viridiplantae; Streptophyta; Magnoliopsida; Fabales; Fabaceae
Description: long non-coding RNA (MTRU_LNC004184)
Source: RNAcentral
GCAUGGAUUAAACCAAAAUUUGCUCAAAUUAACAGAGGGUAAACUGAAAUUUGCUCAAAAUAUAAGGGGGUAAACUUAAAUUUGCUGAAAUUAACGGGGGUGAAAUUUUCCAUGAAGGUCCAAAACAAAAAAAAUCUUCAAAUUAUAUAAGGAUGAAAUUUAAAAAUAAAAAAAUUACAGGAAGGAAAAUCAAAAAUGACCUAUAUUAUUAGGGUAAAGCAAUAUUCACCCAAUAUAUAAAUUCAAAUUACAUAACGUUCUAGUGUAAGUUAUAUUUCAUAGAUUUUUUUUUUUUCCAGUAUACGGAAUUACUCUUCCCUGCAAGGCAUAAUUAUACUUUCUUGGUCUAGGACUCAUGCAAUCAUCAGUGCAGUCCAGUUAAUCUACAC